AAUGGGGUUUUCCUUUAGGGGUUAAAAGUGUAGAGGUGGACCUCAACACCCAAGUCGUUAGGAUUCUAGGUGCAACCUCUAAAGACCAUGACUGAAACUCUCAAGCAGACGGGUCGAAAAGCCAGAUUGAUUGGGCAAGGGAUCCCAGAAGGUCUUCCCAUUAAAAAAAUUGUGCUCUUGCGUAUCGGAUCUCAUAACUGAAAAGGCGUGUCACAACCCAACCUUGAGUCAUGACUAAGGUGGUGGUUAAAAACUGUAAUCAGAUGGGAGAGGAGAGGCAGCAACCAAUGCACCCAAGCGGAUAUUGAUCAAGUGCGAAAUGAGUGGGGGAAGUUUGUUGUCAAUACAUAUGUGCAUGAGCCAUGAAGUAGCGCGUUUGUUGCUGGUCCAUUUUUGCUAAGGAAAGCAUCUUUUUUUGUGCUCAUUGUCAUUCACCAUGUGUUGCAUGUUUUGGAACAAUGGUUAUAUAUGUAUUAGCUUUUUGAUGUCCCAAGUAGAUGGGCAUGCACUAGAAUGCUUUUCUUGUUUAAAAUGUUGGGCUCAAUGAUUAGUGGUUUGCAAUGUUUAUAUUUGAUGGUUUGCAAUGUUUAUAUUUGGUAUGUAAAUGGAUCAAAUGCACAAUUAUACUAUAUAUAA
Molecule: long non-coding RNA, 636 nt
Filed under: Rosa chinensis
Lineage: Eukaryota; Viridiplantae; Streptophyta; Magnoliopsida; Rosales; Rosaceae
Description: sRNA RchiOBHm_Chr2g0168171
Source: RNAcentral